Molecule: long non-coding RNA, 943 nt
Organism: Camellia sinensis
Lineage: Eukaryota; Viridiplantae; Streptophyta; Magnoliopsida; Ericales; Theaceae
Source: RefSeq, a predicted model, not a curated record
UCAAAAAAAAAAGCCAGGGUUUCAAAGAAGAGAGGGAGACGUAGGUGAAGGGGAAAGGUUUCUUCAAACACUUGUUCAAUCAAUUGAAUCGGUGGAGACGUAGGUGAAGGGGAAAGGUCCAUUGAUGUAGUCCGUUUCCUUCCUCAGCAAAGCAAUCACGCUUUCCAUUGAGUCAAUUUGUAAUCUACUUCGACUUGGACUUGGCUUCAAUUUGUAAUCUGCUUCGACUACUUUGACUGCUACGCAAUUUCUUAUAUUUGCGUAGGCCCUUUCGAGGUUCUUCAAAGCCACACGCUAACACAGGCUGAUCAUCUUUCACAACCGGGAUCAACCCCUUUGACUGCAGAAGAGCUGUCAAUCAAAGUCCUAAAGCCAAGGUCUGGCUAUGUGAAGGGACUUGGCAUGAGAUCUUCAUCCUCUAUUAGGAGGACCACUACCAUAUAUGCUAAAACAAAUGAUUAUGUGAAGCGCCUUGAGAUGCAAAUAGAGACACAAAAAGAACAAAUACAAAUGCAAAACAAUAAAAUAGAAGAUCUUAAAGAAGGUAGGAAGAAGCAAGGGGAGAUAAUGGCUGAUAUUGUUAACUUUUUGAGGACCAAAGGAUUCACUGGACACUUUGGAAGUGGAGGGGACUCAUCCACAAAUGGACAUACUUCUUGAUUGGAUUGGGGUGGCAUUUUUGACCUGCAACAAUGAUGUAAUGUGCUUGAAUUUUUAUUUUGUUUGAUAAGGAUACACAUAUUUUGUGGAGUUGCACUAGUUAUUGUUGGAUGUUUGGUGGAAUUGUACAAGUUAUAACUUUUGGAUAUUUUGUGGAUAUUGCACAAUUUUAUUGUAUUAGGAUGAAAUUAUUUGUAAUGAUGAAUGGAUAUUUUCAUUUUGUUAAUUCGUAAAUGUGUUGAUGACAGGUUAGGUUAAAUUGUGAUGGAAUUGUUAUAUUCAA